UACGAAGGGGGCUAGCGUUGCUCGGAAUCACUGGGCGUAAAGGGUGCGUAGGCGGGUCUUUUAAGUCAGGGGUGAAAUCCUGGAGCUCAACUCCAGAACUGCCUUUGAUACUGAAGAUCUUGAGUUCGGGAGAGGUGAGUGGAACUGCGAGUGUAGAGGUGAAAUUCGUAGAUAUUCGCAAGAACACCAGUGGCGAAGGCGGUCACUGGCC
RNAcentral lists this ribosomal RNA (211 nucleotides) under uncultured bacterium. RNAcentral describes it as "partial 16S ribosomal RNA". It matches the Rfam family "Bacterial small subunit ribosomal RNA", at positions 524 to 734 of the family's 1533-position model. The record is from RNAcentral.